This is a long non-coding RNA of Paramisgurnus dabryanus, 352 nucleotides long. RefSeq lists it as uncharacterized. The record is from RefSeq and is a predicted model, not a curated record. NCBI's taxonomy places the organism in Eukaryota, Metazoa, Chordata, Actinopteri, Cypriniformes, Cobitidae.
UGAAGCAGUUUAAAAUAUUUCUUGGUCAAGACUAAAUCUAUCGGAACGUCUCUAAUUCGACCUUCUACUCUAUUUUGGUUUUUUGAGGUCUGAGCUAUCCUUUUCUCACCUGGGAAUACUGUGUCCACCAGUGGUGAAAAACGAUUGAAGAGGGGAAGAGACAUGAUUUAAAAGUUCUCAACUAAGGGACAAAAACAUAAAACCAGAGAGUUCUACCAUUUUGGAGACAGCACAGUGAGUCCUGAUGAGGUUGUGUGAAGGGAAACCAAUCCAGUUCUCUUUGGAGAAUCUUCAGUGUGCACACCCUUUGUUGUAAAUUUCCAAAAGUGAUUAUAAAAGAGAUCCACACAUA